AACGAACGCUGGCGGCAUGCCUAACACAUGCAAGUCGAACGAGAUCUUCGGGUCUAGUGGCGCACGGGUGCGUAACGCGUGGGAAUCUGCCCUUUGGUUCGGAAUAACAGUUGGAAACGACUGCCAAUACCGGAUGAUGACGAGAGUCCAAAGAUUUAUCGCCAGAGGAUGAGCCCGCGUAGGAUUAGCUAGUUGGUGUGGUAAAGGCGCACCAAGGCGACGAUCCUUAGCUGGUCUGAGAGGAUGAUCAGCCACACUGGGACUGAGACACGGCCCAGACUCCUACGGGAGGCAGCAGUGGGGAAUAUUGGACCAUGGGCGAAAGCCUGAUCCAGCAAUGCCGCGUGAGUGAUGAAGGCCUUAGGGUUGUAAAGCUCUUUUACCCGGGAUGAUAAUGACAGUACCGGGAGAAUAAGCUCCGGCUAACUCCGUGCCAGCCGCCGCAGUAA
Molecule: ribosomal RNA, 449 nt
Filed under: uncultured bacterium
Lineage: Bacteria
Description: partial 16S ribosomal RNA
Rfam family: Bacterial small subunit ribosomal RNA
Source: RNAcentral